CCUGCCAAACCCGGAGGGCGGCGCGCGCGAACGGUGUCCGAUCCGCACGGCGGCGUCCUGGGGGGUCCACUGUGAGGACGGAGCUUCCUCUCCUCAGGACCCACCCAGGAGGGGCCGGGGCUUGGGACACCUGGGGCCGCGUCCGGUGUGAGGACUAGGAGACUUGCUGCAGCUCCGGGACACCUGGGGCCGCCGAGGCAAAGCAGGCGUAACCCAACACCUAUCCUCAGCUUUAAGAAUCCAAUAUUACCUUCACUCUGUGUGGAGACCGCAGUCCUCUGGAAAGGUGAAAGGGCUAAUCCUACUCUACAGAAGACUCCAGCUAAAUCAGAGGCCUGACUAUCUCCAACACCCAUAGCUUACUGCGGGUUUGAACUGCUCCAAAGUAAAACGUAUAAUUAAGUCCUGUUGAGUUAACAUGUGGAAGGCCUUUCCUAACCACAGAUCUCCUAAUAGAUGAAAUGAAUCUCCAUUACAAAAAUGUCAUCAAUCUGGGACAGGUGCAAAGGCACUCUGUGAAUAUGGAAACAAG
RNAcentral lists this long non-coding RNA (532 nucleotides) under Pan troglodytes (chimpanzee). RNAcentral describes it as "lincRNA". Lineage: Eukaryota; Metazoa; Chordata; Mammalia; Primates; Hominidae. The record is from RNAcentral.